CAGAAGAACAGCUGCAGUACCUUGACUGGCUGCUUGAGGCUGGCUCCAAAACAGAGCACUUUCCCGUAGGACUCCAUGUUAACAUGUCCAAUUAUAGAACAGAAAUAAACAUGUUUAAAGCCUGGUACAAAAAUGGUUUUUUCCUACAUGAAA
Long non-coding RNA from Thalassophryne amazonica, 153 nucleotides. RefSeq lists it as uncharacterized. The record is from RefSeq and is a predicted model, not a curated record. NCBI's taxonomy places the organism in Eukaryota, Metazoa, Chordata, Actinopteri, Batrachoidiformes, Batrachoididae. The transcript has 3 exons.